CAAAAUGAAUGCUUGUAUUAUGGUCUUCGCUUGCUUGAUCGGACUCAGUUUACCUCAAGACCCUGAUGAUUUCUGGAAGGCGAAGGCGAAAUGUACGCGGAUUACAGGGGUGGAUCAAACGUUUAUGGAGAAGCUGUCAAUGAAACAAGCGUUUAAGUGCCCGAAAGUGCACCAGUUCACUGAAUGUGUUUUGAAAGAGAUUGGUGGUUUGAGCGAAGACGGCACACUCGACUUUGACACAUGUCAAGAGAAUUGUGACGACUCGGGUAAGAUAGAGUGUUCAUUCAUUGAGGGAUGUGGAAAGAGAAGGGAAGAUACAAACCAAAACACAUACGUUAGCAUCUAUUGGUGUUUGAAUCAGUGUUUCUAUCUGUAUGUUAAAAGAGCUGCAAGAAGCUAACAAAUCAAAGAAACACCACAAUGGGCGCACGAGGACACCUGCUUUUUUCGAACAGAAUGUAACAUAUAUAAUUAUUAUCAAUGCGAGUGGGCAUUUUUGCAUAAAACUUUGUAAUAAGAAGUGCGCUGGAACUUUUUAAUAAAAAUGGUAAAUCGCGAA
Photinus pyralis (common eastern firefly) is the source of this 559-nucleotide long non-coding RNA. RefSeq lists it as uncharacterized. The transcript has 2 exons. NCBI's taxonomy places the organism in Eukaryota, Metazoa, Arthropoda, Insecta, Coleoptera, Lampyridae. The record is from RefSeq and is a predicted model, not a curated record.